UACGGAGGGUGCAAGCGUUAAUCGGAUUUAUUGGGCGUAAAGGGCGCGUAGGCGGGAUAGCAAGUCAGACGUGAAAUCCUGGAGCUUAACUCCAGAACAGCAUCUGAAACUACCAUUCUAGAGGAUAGACGGGGAAAACGGAAUUCCACAAGUAGCGGUGAAAUGCGUAGAUAUGUGGAAGAACACCAGUGGCGAAGGCGGUUUUCUAGUUUAUUCCUGACGCUAAAGCGCGAAAGCUAGGGGAGCAAACAGG
RNAcentral lists this ribosomal RNA (253 nucleotides) under uncultured bacterium. Its description in RNAcentral is "partial 16S ribosomal RNA". It matches the Rfam family "Bacterial small subunit ribosomal RNA", at positions 524 to 776 of the family's 1533-position model. The record is from RNAcentral.